RNAcentral lists this long non-coding RNA (944 nucleotides) under Vulpes vulpes (red fox). RNAcentral describes it as "lncRNA (ENSVVUG00000014643.1)". Lineage: Eukaryota; Metazoa; Chordata; Mammalia; Carnivora; Canidae. The record is from RNAcentral.
GUAAUUUCUAGCCAAGUCCAAAUGCAUUUGGGUAUUAUCAUUGUGUUUAAGGCUCUGAAAUUAAACUCUAAGCGUAAGUAAAGUAACUAGGCUCCUGGGAAUUGACUUUUUCUAAACAAAUAAGAGUGGUGUGCAAACUAGAACAUCAAUUUAUUCUUAUGUAACACAGGCAGCCUGGAUAUUUGUGUCUUUAGUCCAUGUAUUCUUUCCCUGUAGGCAAGCAGCAUGGGAAGAAAACUCAAUUAGGAGUGAACAUUAAGAACUUGGAAUCAGAACGGGAAAGGAAGUUGGAUGUUCUAGUAGCUGGUGAUAGCUUGAUGUGUCCGUUUCCUCCUUGGACUGCAUCUCUCUGCUACUCCAUCUAGCUUCUGCUAUUCCCCUGUACAAUAAAUAAAGCUUCAGUUUUAGUAGCCAAUUUGUCUAAGCCUCUUGUAUAUACUGUGGCCCCUGCCUGGAGUCCUCUAGCAGUCAUCGCAGGCAUGUUUUGAGGUGUCAGUACUUUUCAUAUACCCUUCUCUGUGACCUGUCCAUUCCUUUGGUCCUAUAGCCAUCCUUGUGUUGUGUCAUCUCCACCUUUUCCUCCUUUUGUCUCCCUCUUCCCUUCUCCUUUCCCUCACCUUCCCACCCCCAUCUGAUUGCAACCAAGGUGGACACUUGUUAUCCAUACUGUUGGCUAGACAUUAACCAAGCAAAGUGUGUCUUCUUGAUCUCUCUAGAUAAUUGGAAGUACAGAACAUAGCAACUCUACUGAAGCACUGUCUAUGGAAUGAAUAAACUACUCCUCAACAUGGUCCAUAGGAACCAAAGUUGUAAAAUAAGGCAGGACAAUUUGAAAGUCAUGAAGGAAAGACUGUCAGAAGCACAGGAUGAAGGAUGCUGUGUCUGUUCUGUGUUCUCCAUUUGGACUUCAUCGGAGAGAGAAAUAAACUUUUACUGUGUUGGAG